GCGUGCUUAACACAUGCAAGUCGAACGCUGAAGCUCCCAGCUUGCUGGGGGUGGAUGAGUGGCGAACGGGUGAGUAACACGUGAGUAACCUGCCCCGAACUCUGGGAUAAGCGCUGGAAACGGCGUCUAAUACUGGAUAUGUCCUAUCACCGCAUGGUGUGUAGGUGGAAAGAAUUUCGGUUCGGGAUGGACUCGCGGCCUAUCAGCUAGAUGGUGAGGUAAUGGCUCACCAUGGCGACGACGGGUAGCCGGCCUGAGAGGGUGACCGGCCACACUGGGACUGAGACACGGCCCAGACUCCUACGGGAGGCAGCAGUGGGGAAUAUUGCACAAUGGGCGCAAGCCUGAUGCAGCAACGCCGCGUGAGGGAUGACGGCCUUCGGGUUGUAAACCUCUUUUAGUAGGGAAGAAGCGAAAGUGACGGUACCUGCAGAAAAAGCACCGGCUAACUACGUGCCAGCAGCCGCGGUAAUACGUAGGGUGCAAGCGUUGUCCGGAAUUAUUGGGCGUAAAGAGCUCGUAGGCGGCUUGUCGCGUCUGCUGUGAAAACCAGAGGCUCAACCUCUGGCCUGCAGUGGGUACGGGCAAGCUAGAGUGCGGUAGGGGAGAUUGGAAUUCCUGGUGUAGCGGUGGAAUGCGCAGAUAUCAGGAGGAACACCGAUGGCGAAGGCAGAUCUCUGGGCCGUAACUGACGCUGAGGAGCGAAAGCAUGGGGAGCGAACAGGAUUAGAUACCCUGGUAGUCCAUGCCGUAAACGUUGGGAACUAGAUGUAGGGCCUGUUCCACGGGUUCUGUGUCGUAGCUAACGCAUUAAGUUCCCCGCCUGGGGAGUACGGCCGCAAGGCUAAAACUCAAAGGAAUUGACGGGGGCCCGCACAAGCGGCGGAGCAUGCGGAUUAAUUCGAUGCAACGCGAAGAACCUUACCAAGGCUUGACAUAUACGAGAACACUGUAGAGAUACAGGA
Molecule: ribosomal RNA, 965 nt
Filed under: Leucobacter chromiiresistens
Lineage: Bacteria; Bacillati; Actinomycetota; Actinomycetes; Micrococcales; Microbacteriaceae
Description: bacterial SSU rRNA
Rfam family: Bacterial small subunit ribosomal RNA
Source: RNAcentral